UGGGCGCAAGCCUGAUGCAGCCAUGCCGCGUGUAUGAAGAAGGACCUUCGGGUUGUAAAGUACUUUCAGCAGUGAGGAAGGUGGGUAUGUUAAUAGCAUACUCAUUUGACGUUAGCUGCAGAAGAAGCACCGGCUAACUCCGUGCCAGCAGCCGCGGUAAUACGGAGGGUGCGAGCGUUAAUCGGAAUUACUGGGCGUAAAGCGCAUGCAGGUGGUUUGUUAAGUCAGAUGUGAAAGCCCGGGGCUCAACCUCGGAAUUGCAUUUGAAACUGGCAAACUAGAGUACUGUAGAGGGGGUAGAAUUUCAGGUGUAGCGGUGAAAUGCGUAGAGAUCUGAAGGAAUACCGGUGGCGAAGGCGGCCCCCUGGACAGAUACUGACACUCAGAUGCGAAAGCGUGGGGAGCAAACAGGAUUAGAUACCAUGGUAG
This 429-nucleotide ribosomal RNA is filed under the name uncultured bacterium. Its description in RNAcentral is "bacterial SSU rRNA". It matches the Rfam family "Bacterial small subunit ribosomal RNA", at positions 372 to 793 of the family's 1533-position model. The record is from RNAcentral.